UGAGAAACCUGCCCUGGACUUGGGAAUAACAGUCGGAAACGUCUGCUAAUACCGAAUACCUUCGUAGCGUCGCAUGGCGCAUCGAAGAAAGCUUUUGCGGUCUGGGAGGGUCUCGCGGCCUACCAGCUAGUUGGUGAGGUAACGGCUCACCGAGGCAUCGACGGGUAGCUGGUCUGAGAGGAUGGCCAGCCACAUUGGGACUGAGACACGGCCCAGACCUCCGUACGGGAGCAG
Molecule: ribosomal RNA, 234 nt
Filed under: uncultured bacterium
Lineage: Bacteria
Description: partial 16S ribosomal RNA
Rfam family: Bacterial small subunit ribosomal RNA
Source: RNAcentral